CCACGAACAUCAACUUAAGUAUGAUAGAAAAAACACACCAAAAAAAAAAGAAAAAGAAAAACAACAUUAAGAAAAGAACUAAAAAGAAAAGAAAAAGAAAAGGAUUUGAAAAACGCCAAUAGAAAAUAAAAGAAAAAGAGAGUAAAAGACCAAUGGAAAACAAAAUAAAUAAGAUAAAUAAAAAAAUAAAACGAAAACAUGCAUCCAUUCUCCAUGAAAUCAAAUGGGUCAUUGAGUACUGACUUGACUCAGGUUGACGCAGUCGGUGUAAACGGAGUUGCGUCAAUAUGAAUCGCCUCAAAUGACUUGACGUGACUCGACUCGACGUGACUCGCUUGGUGUAAACGCAGCCUAAAAUUUGCUGCCUCGGCACUCUUCCCGCCAGCCAGCCGGGGAUUAAAUUUCAGCUGACGCAGCAUGCACAGAACCCCGUAUAUAAGAUCUUCCACGUUAAAUACAAUUCCGGAAAACAAAUCAGUGUAAUUUAAAACGUGAUAAACACUAAGAAUAACAGUAAUAUAUAUAAAUAUGACGAAAUAAACAUUAAUAGUUUGUAAAGUGUUCGAUCAGCGGCAACUCUCCCGCACGUUCACCGUUGCCAGAUUAUCGUAUUCAGAGCCUCGUAUUUACCAGUUUCUGAGCCAUCUAUAGCCAAAAACUCACUAAUUAUUAACCAUUUUAACGAUAACUAUAUAUUAAGGCAAUUAUUAGGGGUCGAGGAGGAAGUUUUUGGGUCGGAAAUCGGCAAACAUAAGAGGCAGAGUACGACAAUCUGGCACCGUUGCGCACGUACCUCCGCCGCCUUGCUGCAUGUGCUUACCCGGCACGGAUAAUGUGGUGAGUUUUUAUCUUUUUUACGUCAUUUACACCUUUCCCCCACCUUUGUUACACCUACACACAUGACAUUAAGUGCUCAGGGAUUAGGUAGAGCGGCAGAUCAUCCCUGUAAAUUGUGUUGAAGGUGAAAUGUGAUGAAAAAUGUAGUGGCGAGGACAGCGUGGGUUAACAAUGCACGCCGUGUAUCACAAUUUUUACACUUUCCAUGUCAUUAUUCACCAUUCUAACUUAGUCUGGAGUGUCCAAGGCUUAAGUAGACGUGCAAGUUACAUAUAAGAGGUGAAAUUAACGUGCGUAGGAUAUAUUUUAACGCAAGCCCCAUAUUCUAGUACAUGAUUGGUACCUGUUUGUCUGUCCUUGCGCAAACUUAUACCAUGGCUGAUGAGGUAAUCUAACGUAGUUUUGGUGGUGUAGUAGUGGUUUUGUAUGUGUGAUUUACAGGAGUGUUAAACCUUUUUAACUUAGAUUACUUAUAUAAUGGUACUUUACGUUGCCUGGUUGUAAUCUGACGUAAUUUUGGUGGUAUAAUUGGUUUUCAUGCGUGAUUUAGAGGAGUGUAAUACUUUUUAAAGCGUUCUCUGGAGCUGCAGAAUACAAUUUCCACCAUAAUUAACUACAUAUCCCAAGGGUGUGAAUGCCAUAAUGAUUUUUUAAGUGCGUGCAUGUUUUGUAAGCAUUUAAGUGUGUAGAGGCGUCACGUACGUGGUCUGGCUAGCUGUUAUCUAACAUAAUUUUGGUGUAAUCACAUGUGGUUUUUAUGUGUGAUUUAGUGUUACACAUUUUCACUUAGUUUACUUAUAUUCUGGUGUUUUAAGUGCGCGGUUGGAAUUAUAUAAGUGUAUAGCUGUCACGUAGUCUGUGUGUGGCCUGGUAACAUCGCGGCUGAGGUGUAAUUAUGUAAUUUUUAUAUAUUGGAGGUUUUUAGGCCUGACAGACAGUAAGUAGCUUUAUCUAUAAUAAGAGGAUGGCAUUAUAAAGUAAGAAUCCAGGAACUUGUAAGUCUUUUUUUUUCCACUGACAGAAUGACAAAGACAACAGCUUCAAACAGUGGGAUCCCUGCAAUGGACAUUAGUGUAUCAUUUGAUGGCACAUACGUCAUUCUACGCAUCAGCUGUUCUCUGGAGCUGCAGAAUACAAUUUCCACCAUAAUUAACUACAUAUCCCAAGGGUGUGAAUGCCAUAAUCCUUGGUGUAGCUGUACUUGCCCUUGCUUCUGUACCUGCCUGCCAUUCUGGUUUCAAGUAAACGAGUUUUUUUAAGAUGUCAUUUGUAGUUGUGGAGUUUCUGGAUGAAAAGGCAGUUGAAGUUGUUCCCAAGUCAUGGAUAAUGCAUAAAGAAAAAGGUCUGUUUUGUUACUGGCCUCCAAGGGCAGGUGCUGCAGCCAAGGUGAAAAAGGAAGAAAUCCCAGAUAAAGAAAAAUGGAAUUCAUACGAGAUAAGGAUUUUUUCAUCUGCAGAAACCUACAGCAAGGCCCAGGAACUGUCCAGGAGAGCAGAGGUUACGUCAAAUGUUGAAACAGAACCUGAAGGUCCAAAAAGCAGAGCUACCAAAAAGCCUGCUAGAUAUGACUUCUCAGAUGAAGCUGAUGAUGAAGGCGAUAAUCCUGAGUUCUCCCACACUCCAUCUGUAGCUGUUCUGCCACAAUCUCCUCACC
Molecule: long non-coding RNA, 2491 nt
Organism: Eriocheir sinensis (Chinese mitten crab)
Lineage: Eukaryota; Metazoa; Arthropoda; Malacostraca; Decapoda; Varunidae
Exons: 5
Source: RefSeq, a predicted model, not a curated record